This 148-nucleotide small RNA is filed under the name Pongo abelii (Sumatran orangutan). Its description in RNAcentral is "Metazoan signal recognition particle RNA (ENSPPYG00000039175.1)". Lineage: Eukaryota; Metazoa; Chordata; Mammalia; Primates; Hominidae. The record is from Rfam by way of RNAcentral.
GCUGGGUGUGGUGGUGCGCGCCUGUAAUCCCAGCUACUCAGGAGGCUGAAGUGGGAGGAUUGCUUGAACCCAGGAGGUGAAGGUUGCAGUGAGCCAAGACUGCACCACUGCACUCCAGCCUGGGUGACAGAGCAAGAUCCCAUCUCAG